CAGCAGCCGCGGUAAUACGUAGGUGGCAAGCGUUGUCCGGAAUUAUUGGGCGUAAAGGGCUCGCAGGCGGUUUCUUAAGUCUGAUGUGAAAGCCCCCGGCUCAACCGGGGGGGGUCAUUGGAAACUGGGAAACUUGAGUGCAGAAGAGGAGAGUGGAAUUCCACGUGUAGCGGUGAAAUGCGUAGAGAUGUGGAGGAACACCAGUGGCGAAGGCGACUCUCUGGUCUGUAACUGACGCUGAGGAGCGAAAGCGUGGGGAGCGAACAGGAUUAGAUACCCCGGUAGUCCCUGUCUCUUAUAC
This 301-nucleotide ribosomal RNA is filed under the name uncultured bacterium. Its description in RNAcentral is "partial 16S ribosomal RNA". It matches the Rfam family "Bacterial small subunit ribosomal RNA", at positions 509 to 807 of the family's 1533-position model. The record is from RNAcentral.